GCCUGCUUGGCUCAGUCAGUAGAGCAUGUGACUCUUGAUCUCAGGAUUGUAGGUUCGAGCCCCACAGUGGGUG
Molecule: transfer RNA, 73 nt
Organism: Felis catus (domestic cat)
Lineage: Eukaryota; Metazoa; Chordata; Mammalia; Carnivora; Felidae
Rfam family: tRNA
About the family: Transfer RNA (tRNA) molecules are approximately 80 nucleotides in length. Their secondary structure includes four short double-helical elements and three loops (D, anti-codon, and T loops). Further hydrogen bonds mediate the characteristic L-shaped molecular structure. tRNAs have two regions of fundamental functional importance: the anti-codon, which is responsible for specific mRNA codon recognition, and the 3' end, to which the tRNAs corresponding amino acid is attached (by aminoacyl-tRNA synthetases). tRNAs cope with the degeneracy of the genetic code in two manners: having more than one tRNA (with a specific anti-codon) for a particular amino acid; and 'wobble' base-pairing, i.e. permitting non-standard base-pairing at the 3rd anti-codon position.
Source: Rfam